Non-coding RNA from Acanthosepion pharaonis, 106 nucleotides. Lineage: Eukaryota; Metazoa; Mollusca; Cephalopoda; Sepiida; Sepiidae. The record is from the annotation of a GenBank genome assembly.
ACAUCAUGUUGAAAUGCCAGUUUCCGUAGGAUCACCAAAGUUAAGCAAUAUUGAGCCUGUUCAGUAUUCAAAUUGGUGACCACUUGGGAAUACCAAAUGCUGUAAG